RNAcentral lists this ribosomal RNA (421 nucleotides) under uncultured Bacteroidales bacterium. RNAcentral's name for it is "partial 16S ribosomal RNA". It matches the Rfam family "Bacterial small subunit ribosomal RNA", at positions 355 to 774 of the family's 1533-position model. The record is from RNAcentral. Lineage: Bacteria; Pseudomonadati; Bacteroidota; Bacteroidia; Bacteroidales.
UGAGGAAUAUUGGUCAAUGGACGGAAGUCUGAACCAGCCAUGCCGCGUGCAGGACGACGGCUCUAUGAGUUGUAAACUGCUUUUUUAAGGGAAUAAAAGGAGAUACGCGUAUUUCUUUGCAAGUACCUUACGAAUAAGGAUCGGCUAACUCCGUGCCAGCAGCCGCGGUAAUACGGAGGAUCCGAGCGUUAUCCGGAUUUAUUGGGUUUAAAGGGUGCGUAGGUUGCCAUUUAAGUCAGCGGUAAAAUCGUGGGGCUCAACCCCAUUUAGCCGUUGAAACUGGGAGGCUAGAGAUUGGAUGCAGCAGGCGGAAUGUGUAGUGUAGCGGUGAAAUGCAUAGAUAUUACACAGAACACCGAUUGCGAAGGCAGCUUGCUAAACCAUAUCUGACACUGAUGCACGAAAGCGUGGGGAUCAAACA